ACAGCUAUCUCUUCUUGUGUGUAUCUUCCCUACUGGUUCAGUGCAAGUGUAGAGAUACUUAUAUUCUAUAGUGUACACUUAGUCCUAAUAACUCUUCUAUUCAUUGGGAUUAUCCGGCUUCUGGUGGUUAUUAAGUUUGACCAAAUGAUCGGGUUUGAUCCUGAAGAACUGGCACUGAGAAUUCUCUGCUCAAUUAUCAUGGUCUCUGCUGCUAUUGUGGCAUUUCCCUCAAUUUACACCAUCAAAACAGGGUUUAUAACACCUCAAGUGUCAAUCUUUACUGGACAGCCUCAGACAUCAGGAACAAUU
Long non-coding RNA from Eurytemora carolleeae, 309 nucleotides. RefSeq lists it as uncharacterized. The record is from RefSeq and is a predicted model, not a curated record. NCBI's taxonomy places the organism in Eukaryota, Metazoa, Arthropoda, Copepoda, Calanoida, Temoridae. The transcript has 3 exons.